AGGCCUCAGUUCUGAUGCCUCCGUUGGCUGGUUGGUCUCUUUCACUUGGACUCCCAUCUAGCAGCAAUGAUCCAUCACAUCCCUAUACAAAUGCAAAUUAAGUUAGAGGUAAUAUCUUUUUUCUAUAUAUAUAUAUGCAUGCAUAUAUAUUAACCUUAUUGGUGAAACAUGCUCUGUAGUUGCAACUUUUUUCUCCUUGUUACUUUAUUCUCCAAAAUAAGUUACUCGAUCUUCAGAAGUUUGAUCCAUGAGUUAAAAUACUUCAUGGGUACUCAUUUUUAAUAUUUUUUUCUUUUAUCAUGGAAUUUAUAUAACUAAUCACUUUUGCCUGAUCGAAUAGCAUUAUAUUAUUCUAGCAAAACAUAGAUGAUUAAGGAAAGGUAAGAAAAGUAGUGAAUUUGAUCUCUUUUAUUAAUAAAUUAUAAUUCUAACAAUUAACAUUUUUCGAUAAAAAAAAAAUUACCUGAACAAAACAAUCAUGGAAGAAAAUGCGGAGUAAGGCAGGAGCUUGGCCAUUGUCAUCCUUGAACACCUUCUUGAGAUGUUUCCUCACAAUGGACUCAAGCUUGGGGCAUGUUUUGGAAUAGAAAGAAUAUGAUAGUCCCUUCACUACUGGGGGCUUGGCUUCUACUUGGGAGGCAUAAAUGUGUGAAAUAAACAGAAUGGAAGAAAUCAAGAACAAAGGAUAAGCACUAGACCUAGCCAUCUUUGUUUACCUUGAUGAGUUUGAUAUUUGAGAUUCACAACUAGGGUGAGAAUUUAUAGGAGGGCUGCUAUGGGGUUAUGCCCCACAUGUUUUUUACCUAAUAAAGUAAGCCCAAGUAAGUUUCGGAGAAAAUUCUAUUCUACAUAUUAAGACACCGGAGUGAGGUAGGUGUGUAAGGGAACUUGUAAUUUUCGCUUAUACACAUGCAUGUGCAUACAUGGUUUGAAUUUUUCCAAAUCGUGAAUACUAGCUAAUAGUAUACGUUAUAGUACAUAUUUAGGAUAUUCAAUUCUCUUGUAAAAAAAAUCAAUUCAUUGGGUUUAUUAACUUUUUGUCCCUCAUUUUGUAUUUUAGUGCUUAAAAAAAUAUUUUUAGUUUUAGUCCUUUAAAAAUUUAUUCGUUCUGUUUUUAUUAGCUCCCGAAAAAUUCUACAUUAGAGAUCAAAAAAAUGAAAGAGAAUUUUUUUUUACUAAAAACAAACAAAAAAUGAUGAAAAAUUAAAAACUGAAAUUCAAAAAAAUAAUAAACCCAAAUUCAUUCGCAUACAUGUUUUAAAUUAUUUAAAAACAAAUAUUAAAUAGUUUUUUCGAUUUUGAUGAAAAAAAUGUUUUAAUAAAAUAAUUUUUUAAUUAAAAAUUCCUGAGGGAAAUUAGUAUACAUCGAUAAAAAGAGAAAAAUAUUCUUUCAACAUAAACUUUUUAUUAGAUAAUUUUAUUUCAAGACCUACAUUAAUUAAAGAUUAUAUAUAUAUAUAUAUAUAUAUAUAUAUAUAUAUAUAUAUAUAUAUAUAUAUAUAUAUAUAUAUAUAUAUAUAUAUAUAUCAUAUUUAUAAAAUUUAAAAUUGAUUCAAACUUAAUUAUAAAUUCUUUAAUACUCACAUAUAUGUAGGUAAUAUGUGUCUUAUUAUUCUUCAUAGUAUGGUCUCAAAUUCAAUUGAGUGUAUGUUGGAAAAAACUCUCGGUGAAAGAGAUGCUCUUACCAUACUAAAAACCUUUUUAGUCAAAGGAUUCCCGUGUCUUAAAUUGUGCGUGUGUAUGUAUAGUGCCUUCUUUUAUUAUUUAAAUUUAUAGUGAUAAAAUUUAAAUUCAAUAACGGUAUUCUGAAAUUGGUCAAAAUAAAACGUCCACGUGCACUUGAAUGAUGAGUUUGAACCCUUAUUUUGUGUGUGUGAAUGAUGAUGAGUAUGAAGCUAUUAUGUAAAAGAUGAUGUGAACAAAGAUUCCAAUAAUUUAAAAACAGGCAAGUGGCAUAUAUUAUUAGACUGGAGAUCACUCAAGUCAAAUUUAAUGUUAUUAGUUAUUACUUGCUAGAGGGAUAGUUACGGACUUUGCAUGGUGAGGGAACUCAAUUUAAAUGUAACAAGAAUUUUUAUUUUUUUUAAGUAACAAGAAAAAAUUGAAUAAAAAGUUAACAGAAAAAAAUAACUUAAAUACAUUUUUUAUUCUUUAAAGUUGGGUCUAUUUUAUUUUAUUUUUUUCAAAAAAUUUAAAUUUAGUUUUUGCUCUUAAUUUCAGAAAAUGUUCUUUUUAAUUUUUCUUAACUAAUUUUUUACAGUUUAAUUAUACAAUUUGAGAUAAUUUUUUAUUAGAUAAGGGACAAAAAAUAAUAUUUUUCAAAAUUAAAUGAUAAAAAGAAUUUAAAUUUGAGGGAUAAAAACAAAAAUAACCUAAUUUGAGGAGUCAGAAUAUAUUUAAGUCAUAAAAAUUUGCUACAAGUUGACAUAUAUUUAAGUCAUAAAAAUUUGCUACAAGUUGACAUCUGUCGUACGUAGAUUCGAUUAGUUAUGAACUUCUUUUAUUUUAAGACGAUUUUAAUUAAAAAAAUAAAGAUAAUAUCCAAUCACAACAUGCGAUGCAGCAAGGGUAGGAUUAUAAAUUAAUACACGGAAUCAUUGCAGAUUAUUAUAUUCUUCACUGGCAUUCAGAUUGAAUGCUCAAGAACAAUUAGUAAACUUUAACCCAAAUUAAAGGGUGGAAACAAAGGCAUUAAUUAAACAUAUAUAUGAGAAAAUUUUAUCUUUUGUGCAUGCGUGCACAUGAAAAAAGUAACCACGCGCGUUAUACGAAGUGGGGUUAUUUAGGAUAGACAUGAAAAUCGAGAAAUUUCAGACCGAAAAAAAGGAGAAUGCACGCAUGUACUGUCAAAAUAGGCGGCUUCAGAGCUAUCCACCAAAACCUCCUUUCUUGGUACGUGCACGACGGCUCCUCUUUAGAAGUUAGAAAUGUAUAUAUUUCCAAUUAAAUGUUGACCACAAAAUAUAUAUAUAUAUAUAUAUAUAUAUAUAUAUAUAAUAUUAAAGAAUUUAUUUUAAUUAUGUAACAUUCCAUUUUCAAUUUAUUAGUUAUUUUCUCUAUUGCUUUAAUUUGAGGAUUUCAAUAACAUGAUUUAACGCACACUUACCAUCCCAAAUAAAAGUUUUUUUUUUUAAGUCUCAUGUUAGUUGUUCAAUAGGAAUAUUCAUGAUUAUGGAUCCACAUCUUAUCCAACUCAAUUUAAUUAUAUUUGAUUAAAUUUUUAAAAUAUUUUGAUCAAAUUUAAAUCAUUCUAAUUAAGAUUGAUCAUUGGAUAAUAUGUUUUAUUUUUUUAAUUCGAUGUAACUCAUUUUAUAUAAUUAAAUUUAUUUUUAUAUAUAAAUUAAUUAUUACCUAAAAAAUAUAUUAAUAAUUUAUAACUCACAUAAUUUAUUAAAUUUAGUCAUUCAUGAUUUUUUUUUGAAGUUGUUAUUUUUAUUUUUUUUCUUAAUUUUAUAUAUAUUUUCACAUGUUAAUAUCAUACUUUAUUUAUAUCUAAAUAAAAAUAUUAUAUUAAUAUUAAAAUUAUUAAUUUUAUCAGUCAAAUAUUAUUAUAAUUUGGUCUUUUUUAAGUGCAUUUAGUAAUUAUAUACUUACAAAUAUUUAAGUAAAAACAAAUUAUUAUUCUAAAAAAUUACCUUUUAAAAAUAAAAAAAAUUAUUUUUAAAUAUUCAUAUCCAAUUAAUCAAACCUAAUUCAAUUCAUUUGUUAUCAUGUUGAUUUGGGUCGGGUCUAUAAAAAAAAUUACACGAAUUUAACCCAACCCAAGCCAUAUUAAUUAAGUAGCUUAUUAUUUGAUAUAAAUUUUCUAACGACUUUUAUGUACCGGUGGAUUUUGUGCUAUAAAUAUUAAGAAUUGUAAAUUUGGAUUCAAAUUUAUUUUAUAUUUAUAAAAAAAAUUAUAAUGAUAGGAUUCCACCUAUUAAAAGAGUUUUAAUUUCAUAAAGAAAUAGGCAUAUAAAUAUUAGUAUAUAUACUCAUCUAAACUCAAAUAUAAGUACAAAGUACUUCUCUAAUUAAGAUUAAUUGCUAGUGAAAUUCAUUUAAUUAUUUGAUUUCUUACAAACAAAAAAGAACUAUAUCUUCUAAACUUCGUGUGCCUUAAUUAAAUAUUUUGGAGAUGGUGGUCACAUUUAAAUCUAAAAAUAUUUUUAAAAUAGUAAUAUUGAAUAAGGUUAAUUAAAUCUUUUGGAGAUGAUUUGUUAUUUAAUGAGGGAUGUUGUGUUGUUGGCUCGUUGUUUCCUGUACUAAAUUACUUUCUUUACAUUUUCUUUUACUUUCAGAAUGGCCAAUCUAAAAGCUAAAAACAUUCCAAAAAAGAAUACAGGAAGUAAUUUGGAAGUGCAGGAAGCAACAACCUUUGUUGUUUGCUCACAAGUUCGAGAAAAGCAACGGUGUUUGAUUGUAAUUGGCCUGUAGGGAUUCUGUUCCAUUGGACUUUUAUGGGUUGCCUAUUUAUGUUUGGGUUGCUUUGUUUUUCUUUCUCUGUAACGAUUGG
This 4495-nucleotide long non-coding RNA is filed under the name Glycine max (soybean). RNAcentral's name for it is "long non-coding RNA (GMAX_LNC003732)". The record is from RNAcentral. Lineage: Eukaryota; Viridiplantae; Streptophyta; Magnoliopsida; Fabales; Fabaceae.